CCUACGGGCGGCUGCAGUGAGGAAUAUUGGACAAUGGACGCAAGUCUGAACCAGCCAUGCCGCGUGCAGGAAGACGGCUCUAUGAGUUGUAAACUGCUUUUGUACGAGGGUAAACGCAGAUACGCGUAUCUGUAUGACAGUAUCGUACGAAUACGGAUCGGCUAACUCCGUGCCAGCAGCCGCGGUAAUACGGAGGAUUCAAGCGUUAUCCGGAUUUAUUGGGUUUAAAGGGUGCGUAGGCGGUCGGGUAAGUUAGAGGUGAAAGCCCGAGGCUCAACUUCGGAAUUGCCGCUGAUACUGUUCGGCUAGAGAGUAGGUGCGGUAGGCGGAAUGUAUGGUGUAGCGGUGAAAUGCGUAGAGAUCAGACAGAACACCGAUUGCGAAGGCAGCUUACCAAGCUACGUCUGACGUUGAGGCACGAAAGCGUGGGGAGCAAACAGGAUUAGAUACCCCUGUAGUC
Molecule: ribosomal RNA, 460 nt
Filed under: uncultured bacterium
Lineage: Bacteria
Description: partial 16S ribosomal RNA
Rfam family: Bacterial small subunit ribosomal RNA
Source: RNAcentral